Molecule: long non-coding RNA, 277 nt
Organism: Branchiostoma floridae (Florida lancelet)
Lineage: Eukaryota; Metazoa; Chordata; Leptocardii; Amphioxiformes; Branchiostomatidae
Exons: 3
Source: RefSeq, a predicted model, not a curated record
AGAGGUCAGCUCGUAAACAGCGACAACAAGCCGUGAGGCGACAGAAGGACCACUUCUCUCCCUUCUCAGCUGCGCCCUCUAGUGAUGUCAUCAAUGACGGCAUUAGCCGUCCGUACAGUGCCCCGGAACUACAGAAAUCGGAGGACCCUACACGUGUUGACGAUGACAAUGAAUACGAAGAACAUCUCCAUGCUGGCUGCAGGGCCCUGCAGACUGGAGACCUGGACACAGCAGAACAAAGCUUUGCAGCUGCGCUCAAGUCUGUUCACGUCAAGGG